GGAGAAAGACAGGGGGCCUUUAGCCUUGGGAGGUCGGGAUCCCAGUCACGGCCCCAUGCCAGCUUUAUCACGCGUCACUGACCAAGCCCCUGAGCCAGAGGACACAAUCAGCCUCAAGGACGGAGAUCGAAGCAAACGUGUGCCCACCACACAUGCAGGCAGAGCGCUGGGCCUGCAGGCAGAGAAAAGCACCCUCAAAUGCCAGCUCACCAAGUGUUAAUGCUGCGACAGCCCCUCUGUGCCUCAGUUCCCCCAUCUGUAAAAUGGGGCAAUAACAGUGCCUCCCUCGCACAGUUGUGAGGGUUAAAUGAGUUCAUCAACACCGUGUGGAGAACUGAGCCCUCAAACAACGUCACCUUUGUUCUAACUCUUGAACAUUUAGAUUGUUUCCAAUCUUUUGUCAUUGUAAAUUGCGCUGUGAGGGUCUGCCGAGACCAGGCCCAUUAAGAGCAUUAUUUCACUUAAAGAAGGCUCGUCCCCCAAGUCGGUCAGAUGAGGCAAGUGCAGAAUGAGGCCCAGGUGAGGCCCAGGGUUGCACAGGUGGCUGGGAUCCAAGCGUGGCGCGCUAGAAUCUCCCAGGAGCUCACAUGUGUGGAACACCUGCCGACAAGGAGUCCACAGCCACCUCCCCAUCCUCACCACCAACAGAGCCAGAGGAUGGCUCAUUGCAGUGGCAGGCAGGGAAGACCCCUCCCGGUGGCCAGGCACCCUGGACAGAGACUGCCCGUGUGACAGUCCCAGAGAAGGGAGAGAAAGUGGAGCCUGCUGAAGCCACCCCUACCACGCAGAAUCAUCACAGCCCCGGUCACUGAGCUCCGUGCUAAGCACCUUGCAGCACGUACGCAUUUUGCCUCACAUCGACUCUGUGAAGUGCGGGCUACUGAUGCGUCCGUGAGGAACCAGGGAAAUGACUUGCCAGGGCCACCCAGCCAAGAAGCAGCAGAGCCGGGAGUCAAAGCCAGGACUGGGCCCCAAACCCUAGCUCACAGCCACCAUGUCACACUUCCUCAGGCGCACUGUCCCUGGGCGUGGCAGCACCCUCCCGUGGUCUGGCACAGCUGCCCAGCUUCUCACGCCCAGAACGCGGGCUUCCCUUUUCCUCCCUGUGCUCAGAGGGGUUUUGCUCGCCUGGGCUGAGCUCUCUCCAGCCCGCUUCAGUUCCCACUUGUGUCAGGAGGCCCAGGACCCUCAUAAAGCAAUGCCCUGUGCUAUAGACUGAAUGUCUAUGUUCCCCCAAAAUGCGCUGGAACCUAACCCCCAAGGCAAUGGUGUUUUGAGGCAGAGCCCUCAUGAACGGGGAUAGUGCCCUUAUAAGAGACCCCAGAGAGCUCCCUCACCCCUCCUGCCACGUGAGGGCACAGUGAGAAGACAGCUAUCUAUGAACUAGGAAGUGGACACUCAUCGGACACUGACCCUAACAGCACCUUGAGCUCUGAUUUCCCAACCUCCAGAACGGUAAGAAAUAAGCGUCUGUUUUUUAUUUCUUAGCCCCCCAGUAUUGUGUCAUAGCCCAGGACUGAGGCCCAGGCUGGACCCGUGGAACUGCUGAGGUUGCGGCCAUCUGAGAGCGUCGGGGAGGGAAAGGAAGCGAGUCAGCUGCUUCUCUUAGGAAGCUCUAGGCUCUCAGCCCUAACGUGACUACCCGCGGGCAGAGGCCCCGAGCUGGAGGCAAGGGUGCCCCAGGUCACCGCCUGCCUGGUUCACUGCAGUAUCUCCAAGGGCCCGGCAAGGGUGGCUGGAAGCCUCUGCUUGCACCUUGGGGACCCACCUUGAUGACUUUCAGCACAGCUGAUGUUGGAAUCGUUUACCUGAUGUCCUGCCACCAGCACCUGCAAGGCCACCCCAGGGGAUCAUACAGUUCAGAGGAAGUGCACCAAGGCUCUGAGCCCAGUGCCUGACGCGACGCAACGCACCGCAUCGUAGUGACUGUUUUGAGGAGAGACCAGUAUCUCAACCACUUUGAGGCUGCGCGCUCACUCUCUCUCAUCACCAGGUCUUCAGAUACUCCUCAGGCCUCCAGGCUUCUGCGCGUGCUGUCUCUUCCCCGGGAGUGUCCUUCUUCCCCUGCAGGGCCUGGGAAAGAGACACUGCGGCCCAGGCUAACCUGCUCUCUCAAAGAGGCCUGGCAAGAGCUGACUGGACAACACCUGUCGUCUCUUGCCCUCCCCUUGUCCACACACCUGAAGAAUCCUCAGCGACCACUUUAAACGCACUCCUCUGCCCCGCCCUAGCUGUAAGCUUAUUCUCAGGGCCUAGACACACCAGCUGCACAGAGAAAGACAGGAAAGGGGAAAGAAAGAGCGAGACAGAGAGAAAGGAAGGGAGGGAGGGAGAAAGACGUAACUGUGAGCUCGAAGGGCCUCGGCUUGAAGAGAAAACCCUGUGGAACCGCCCUGCCCAGGCCUCCUAGGACAGAACUCCGGGGCAAGAGAUUGAGCCUCUCCAAUCUGUACAGCGGGGGAAUAAGGCAAGCGUCCACCUCCUAGGCUGACCGCAGAGUUAAACGGGAGAAACCCACCAAGCGAUGAGAAGGGCACCUGGCACAGGUUAGCACUCACUCAGCAGUAACAGCCGGGAUGGCUAUUAUUCUGUCCUGGCUGUACCCCACCUUCUCCGCUCCCCCCCCCCGGGGGUCCCUGGCACACAGCAGCCUUCACUAAGUGUUGAAUGGGCAAGACCCGUGCCAGUCCUCACACGUCCAAACGCAGACUUUCUAUGUACACACUUGGAAACCCGUCCUCGGCACGGCGUGGGGAGGGGGCAGUCGGCGCUCCCUGCAGACCCGGGGAGUACACGGAGGGGAGGGGCGUCCGGCUUGGGGACACGGCCCACUCCAGGUCUCUGGGUCCUGGGUCACAACUCCCUCCUGGUGACUCAGCCCAGCGCGGGCUGCUUGUUUGGCGGGGAUAAUGACAGGGCAGCCGCUGGGGACAGUGGCCGCGAGGCCCCCUCCCCUGGCCCGGCCUGGGGAAAACAAAGUCGUCAGAAGCGAAGGGGCCCGUCGGCAGGGACUAGGAGGUGAAAGGGGACCCAGACCCCAACCCCUAGGCAGGCUGGUCCGAGAGGCCAUGCUAGUUGCCCCCGAGGAGUCACCCAAUCCCGGCCCAGAGCCGCGUCCCAGGAUCUCGCGCCCCAAGGACGGGACAGGAGCCCCAAGACCGCGCAGGGGCUGCAGGAGGGUUUGGAAAGAUGCAGCAGGAAAGCCCCAGAGUCCCGACCCGCGGCCUUCGCGUUGGCCCCCAGCCUCUAUCCC
Non-coding RNA from Equus caballus (horse), 3253 nucleotides. NCBI's taxonomy places the organism in Eukaryota, Metazoa, Chordata, Mammalia, Perissodactyla, Equidae. The record is from RefSeq and is a predicted model, not a curated record.